CAAUCCUAUUGCUAGAACUGGAAAAAUGAAGGCUAUGAGAAGGGACAAUGAAUAGAAUGUAAAGAGAAGCUGUUUUGAAGAAAAAGGUGCAUAUGUUUUGAAGCAAUGUGGUAAUGGAAUUUAAAGGAUUGAUGCCAAGAUAUUCACAGUCAGAUUCUUUGCCUUUGUGAUGUUAUGUCUGGCUUUGCAGAAGAUUGAACCCAUGGC
Molecule: long non-coding RNA, 207 nt
Filed under: Fukomys damarensis (Damara mole-rat)
Lineage: Eukaryota; Metazoa; Chordata; Mammalia; Rodentia; Bathyergidae
Description: lncRNA (ENSFDAG00000023303.1)
Source: RNAcentral